Molecule: long non-coding RNA, 815 nt
Organism: Helianthus annuus (common sunflower)
Lineage: Eukaryota; Viridiplantae; Streptophyta; Magnoliopsida; Asterales; Asteraceae
Exons: 4
Source: RefSeq, a predicted model, not a curated record
CCUUUCCUUUUCGUUCUCUCUCUCUUACUCAAAGAUUAAGAUUUUAGAUCUGGAUCUGGAUCUAUUGUUCCCGAGGAUCUGGACACCUUCCCUAAGAUAGUUGAAGAUGGAUCCCUAGCCGUCGCAUCUGGUGAAGAUGGUGGUGAUUUCAACUAUCUGUGAUCUUAUGCUUCAAUUUCUCUUUUGGUGGUUUAUCAUUGAUCAUCCCAUUUCUUUCUUCAGAACACAGAAGAGAGAGAGAGAUAGAAAGAUACAUCUGGAGUUAGAGAGAGAAAAGAGGACAAGAGGAGAGAGAGAACGAUGAUGGCAGCUGUUAGGGUUCCGGCGGCCGUGAAACCGACUUUUCAUUUUUCUGGUCUGGUGAAUCAGGAGAGCAAAUUCUUGAAGUAUUUAGGAUUUAUGUGGAACACAUUAUCAUGGGUUAUGGAAGCUGCUGCUAUUAUGGCGAUUGACAUUGCAAAUUGAGGAGGAAAGCCGCCUGAUUGGCAGUCUUUUGUGGGUAUUAUCACUCUGCUCAUAAUCAAUAACAAAGUUAGUUUCAUUGAAGCAAAGAACGCUGGUAAUGUAGCAGCUCGCAAGGCCAGUCUUGCCCAGUGGUUGGGCAAAUCUCCUGUCUGAACUGUUAAGUGAUGUGAUAAAGAGAUUAGAAGCGAGUGAAAGUACAUGGCCCGCGCGAAAAAUUGUUGUUGCGUGUGCCGCAGUGUGUAGAUCAUGGAGAGAAUGUGCAAAGAAAUUGUUGAUUCCACUGAAUCUUCAGAGAAGAUUACAUUUCCAAUCGCUUUGAAACAGGUAGAUUGUUAAUUAAUCAGAUGGUU